This 895-nucleotide small RNA is filed under the name Arabidopsis thaliana (thale cress). RNAcentral's name for it is "ATSL297200". Lineage: Eukaryota; Viridiplantae; Streptophyta; Magnoliopsida; Brassicales; Brassicaceae. The record is from RNAcentral.
UUUUACUAAACUAAAUUUAUUAACAAGACAUUUUAUUAAUUUAAAGAGGUUAAAGAAAGAUAGUGAAUGAAAAGCUUAACAAAUAUAAAUAUAUAGAAAAUGCCAAUGCCACCAACUAGAAAGUCGGUGAGAGGAUUAUUUCAUGGUCUACUAAAUCCCAAUUGAAGCAUUCCUUUCAUCGCUUAUAGUUCAUAGGUGCACUUACCGCUCAACAUAAUCUAAACAAAACGAAGCUUUCACAACCCCCAAAAUAAGCAUAAUUAACUUUAUGGUAAAUAAGCAGAAUUAACUUUACCGUGAAACUUUCGCAACCCCCAAAAUAUAUGAGACUCUUGACGGACUUCUGUUCCCUUAGAUCCUCAAUAACCGCAUCACAUCUGAACGAUUCGCAAGUGGAGAGAAGGUAGUGAAGCUGCUAGACACUUGAACUUGAUAUAUUUGUCUAGAUCAAUUUGAUGUGGAAACCCAAUUUCAUCUAUCCAAUGUCCACUUUUGCUUAGGGAUUUAGCUGAUCUCCUAAGAAAUUCCUUCGAGGUGUCUUCCAUGUCCAUCAAACUUGAUUUUUUGUUCAAUAAGAAAGAAUUCAGAUUCCUAUAAACUUGCUGCACAAGUUAAUUCAAACAAAAUAAACCACAUAUUGAGAUCAUAAACUAACUGACAUCCAGGCCCUAAAGCAUCUGCUUUAGGCCACCUAAUGGAAAAUAUAUACUAAACGUUAGGCCACACGUUUGAUAAGUUCACUUUAGUCUCUUGGUUAUGAUGUACCUCCUAGUUGUAAUUAGUUAAAGAGUUCGAAUCUUUGGUAAUACAAUUUUUGUUACUCUUUUUUCCCAUUUUUUUUGUCAGUUCUCGUUUAUUAAGUUUUACUUUAAUUUUUUUUUUUCGUCUUAAGUUU